This 60-nucleotide microRNA precursor is filed under the name Caenorhabditis elegans. RNAcentral describes it as "microRNA cel-mir-8193 precursor". The record is from miRBase by way of RNAcentral. Lineage: Eukaryota; Metazoa; Nematoda; Chromadorea; Rhabditida; Rhabditidae.
CGCGGGACUAGUCAAGUGUCGGCUGCAACCAGAGCAGCCGACACUUUCCGGUUUUGCGAA